This is a non-coding RNA of Daldinia sp. EC12, 134 nucleotides long. The record is from the annotation of a GenBank genome assembly. NCBI's taxonomy places the organism in Eukaryota, Fungi, Ascomycota, Sordariomycetes, Xylariales, Hypoxylaceae.
GGUGAGAUGGCCGAGUGGUUAUGGCGCUGCGUUCAGGUUUACCUGAAUCUACUACCUAGUAGUAUUCUAUCUAUAUGGUAUAAAAAAAUCUCGCAGUGGAGCAAUCCGCGUGGGUUCGAGUCCCACUCUCAUCA